UACGAAGGGUGCAAACGUUGCUCGGAAUUAUUGGGCGUAAAGCGCACGUAGGCGGCUUUGCAAGUCCCAUGUGAAAUCCCACGGCUCAACCGUGGAAGUGCAUGGGAAACUGCAGAGCUUGAGUACUUAAGAGGAUCGCGGAAUUCCCGGUGUAGAGGUGAAAUUCGUAGAUAUCUGGAGGAAUACCGGUGGCGAAGGCGGCAUCCUGGACCGGCAUUGACGCUGAGGAGCGAAAGCCAGGGGAGCAAACGGG
This 253-nucleotide ribosomal RNA is filed under the name uncultured bacterium. RNAcentral's name for it is "partial 16S ribosomal RNA". It matches the Rfam family "Bacterial small subunit ribosomal RNA", at positions 524 to 776 of the family's 1533-position model. The record is from RNAcentral.